UCCGUAGAGGGGACCUGCGGAAGGAUCAUUA
RNAcentral lists this ribosomal RNA (31 nucleotides) under Trichosporon inkin. RNAcentral describes it as "partial 18S ribosomal RNA". Lineage: Eukaryota; Fungi; Basidiomycota; Tremellomycetes; Trichosporonales; Trichosporonaceae. The record is from RNAcentral.